This is a small nucleolar RNA of Polyodon spathula (Mississippi paddlefish), 65 nucleotides long. RefSeq annotates it as small nucleolar RNA U54. The transcript has a single exon. Lineage: Eukaryota; Metazoa; Chordata; Actinopteri; Acipenseriformes; Polyodontidae. The record is from RefSeq and is a predicted model, not a curated record.
UGGCAAUGAGGAUGAUAUUUUAAAAUGAAUUUGUGAUUGGUUUUAUACGCUAUUCUGAGCCACAU